Molecule: ribosomal RNA, 516 nt
Filed under: uncultured bacterium
Lineage: Bacteria
Description: bacterial SSU rRNA
Rfam family: Bacterial small subunit ribosomal RNA
Source: RNAcentral
GACGAACGCUGGCGGCGUGCCUAAUACAUGCAAGUCGAGCGAAUGGAAGGGAGCUUGCUCCCUGAAGUUAGCGGCGGACGGGUGAGUAACACGUGGGCAACCUGCCCUGUAGACUGGGAUAACAUCGAGAAAUCGGUGCUAAUACCGGAUAAUCGAAGAAACCGCAUGGUUUCUUCAUAAAAGAUGGCUCCGGCUAUCACUACAGGAUGGGCCCGCGGUGCAUUAGCUAGUUGGUGAGGUAGAGGCUCACCAAGGCAACGAUGCAUAGCCGACCUGAGAGGGUGAUCGGCCACACUGGGACUGAGACACGGCCCAGACUCCUACGGGAGGCAGCAGUAGGGAAUCUUCCGCAAUGGACGAAAGUCUGACGGAGCAACGCCGCGUGAGUGAUGAAGGUUUUCGGAUCGUAAAGCUCUGUUGUUAGGGAAGAACAAGUACCGUUCGAAUAGGGCGGUACCUUGACGGUACCUAACCAGAAAGCCACGGCUAACUACGUGCCAGCCGCCGCCGUAAAAC